UACGUAGGCAGCGAGCGUUGUUCGGAGUUACUGGGCGUAAAGAGUGCGUAGGCGGUUUUCUAAGAUUGGUGUGAAAUCUCCCGGCUUAACUGGGAGGGUGCGCCGAAAACUGGAAGGCUUGAGUAUGGGAGAGGUAAGCGGAAUUCCUGGUGUAGCGGUGAAAUGCGUAGAUAUCAGGAGGAACACCUGCGGUGUAGACGGCUUACUGGACCAUAACUGACGCUGAGGCACGAAAGCGUGGGUAGCAAACAGG
RNAcentral lists this ribosomal RNA (253 nucleotides) under uncultured bacterium. RNAcentral describes it as "partial 16S ribosomal RNA". It matches the Rfam family "Bacterial small subunit ribosomal RNA", at positions 524 to 776 of the family's 1533-position model. The record is from RNAcentral.